Molecule: non-coding RNA, 370 nt
Organism: Arachis ipaensis
Lineage: Eukaryota; Viridiplantae; Streptophyta; Magnoliopsida; Fabales; Fabaceae
Source: RefSeq, a predicted model, not a curated record
AAUAUAGGCACCAUCAUAGUGUCAGAUAUAGAAACCACUAUAAUGAGUGAUUUUGACUCUAGCACACUGUUUUACAAAAACCAACACAAUAAAUAAUUCUAUUUAUACCAAUUGCCCUUCCAACCAUUCCAUUCACCCAUAACCUGAUAAAAAGUAGCUGAGUUUUCAAUCCUUGGUAACUUUGUUGAAGGAUAACAACGGUUGCCUGCAUGAAGUUAACAUAUUUUCUAAUCAGUAUGAGAAAAAAUCACAUAACAUAGAGCGAAGUAAAUGUGCCCAAGCAUGCAACUGUGUUUCCUUUGAUUAAAAUAAACAAUGAUUUAAAAGAAUUAUGUGAAAAAAGAUUAGAAAAAAAACUCAGCUCUGAUAG